Molecule: transfer RNA, 85 nt
Filed under: Felis catus (domestic cat)
Lineage: Eukaryota; Metazoa; Chordata; Mammalia; Carnivora; Felidae
Rfam family: tRNA
About the family: Transfer RNA (tRNA) molecules are approximately 80 nucleotides in length. Their secondary structure includes four short double-helical elements and three loops (D, anti-codon, and T loops).
Source: Rfam by way of RNAcentral
ACCUGGGUGGCUCAGUUGGUUGAGCGUCUGACUUCGGCUCAGGUCAUGAUCUCACAGUUCGUGGGUUCAAGCCCUGCGUCAGGCU